This 269-nucleotide ribosomal RNA is filed under the name uncultured prokaryote. RNAcentral describes it as "partial 16S ribosomal RNA". It matches the Rfam family "Bacterial small subunit ribosomal RNA", at positions 524 to 792 of the family's 1533-position model. The record is from RNAcentral.
UACGUAGGGUGCGAGCGUUAAUCGGAAUUACUGGGCGUAAAGCGUGCGCAGGCGGUUUGCUAAGACAGGUGUGAAAUCCCCGGGCUUAACCUGGGAACUGCGCUUGUGACUGGCAGGCUAGAGUACGGUAGAGGGGGGUGGAAUUCCUGGUGUAGCAGUGAAAUGCGUAGAUAUCAGGAGGAACACCGAUGGCGAAGGCAGCCCCCUGGGCCUGUACUUACGCUCAUGCACGAAAGCGUGGGGAGCAAACAGGAUUAGAUACCCGUGUA